CACACACAUAUGCUCGCGCUCCACAAGUGUUCCCGCGCCACCACUUGAGGAGAAAAGGUGACGAGCGCUCUGCCACUAUUGCCAGAACGGUGGCGCUGAGACUGGUUACUGUGCUGGUGAUGGUGUCGACUGUGGCGCCUCAAGUGUGACUGAUAGAGACUAAAGACAUAAAGACAAUGGUGGAGAAAACAGCAAGAAAGAAAAUGUGAAAGGAAAAGGGGAAGGAGGGGGAGGGGGGGUGGCGAGGAGGUGUAAAGAGGUGGAAGCGAAGUGAGUGAUGAGCUAAGGGAAGAACGUUGUCAGUCAGCGCUUUUGGUAACCGUGUGUCCCUUGCUAACGACGUGUGUUCAUCAGGGAAGUAUCGCCUCAGUCAGCAACGCAAGACUACGCAGCAUAAUCCUCUUCUCCAAGACUAGGGAUGGAGUACAUGUUCACUGGAAUGCUGUGAUCAAUGAAAAUGUCUGUGAAUAAGACCCAAUACUGUGUGGUAUGUAAAUGCACGUAGCCUCGUCAGCACACUUGCUCUGCUUCUGGUCCAGCACAUGAUGAACUACACCCAUGCAAUAAAAAAAGCCAAUAUCAAGCAAGAAGGUGCCUCUAUAAAAAAAAACUAGCCAGUGAUAUUAUGGACUGGGGCCGACCAGCAGGCCACAUCAGGGAAGCCUGCCUGCACCACAGGCCGAACGUUUCCCCAGGUACCCAUUUAUCGACCAGCCCGAGAGGGAGGAUGAACAGCUGGGUGAGCUGCAUGCCGACUGCCCGGGCCAGGAUUCAAACCCAGGCCUGUGGAGUAGAAGCCAGGCACACUGACCACUAGACCAUGGAGGCGUAUUUUGUAUAUAGAAAUUGGUUAUUUACCAAGCAGUGUACAAUCAUGGUCUUAGUCUUGCAAUCACUAGUCAUAUCUGCUGGCAAAUAUGGUAAAUAUACCAGUAACAGACAACACACAACAGUAGAUAUAGCUGGGAUACUAAUAAGUAUAAAUUUUAUCUGUUGGGAUCAGCAUCUGAACACGAUCUUCAAGAAACUCUAUAUAUGAUAAAUGUCAUCAGAUACAACCAAGGCAUCUCAAUAUAGAUGGUUUGUUUUAGAGAUGCGUGACAAUUAGCUAUAUGACGUAGAAAAUUGCCCAUAUUAAUCAUUGAUCAUAUUGUACUGUACUGUUAAGAUGCAGUUUGUACUCACUGCCUAACUCUGAUACUCCAAAAUAUUACCGUAAUUAUGUAGCCUCUUACACCAUGAAGCACUAAAUAAUUUAAGCAUACUUUUUUUCUGGUCUUCUUGGCAUCAUUUUCAAAUAUAAAUAAAACAGAUACUAUAUUUAGUGCUAAGACAAGGUAGAGGUGGAAGCAAAUUUAUUUAUUUAUUUAACUACCAGCCCGAGAGGGAGGAUGAACAACAGGGUUGGCUGGGCACUGACUGCCCAGGCCAAGAUUCAAACCAAUGCCUGCAGAUUCAUAAUGAGGUGUGUUAACCACUACACAAUGGAUGCACAUGACACUCACAAUCAGAUGUGCAUGGGGGCAGGCAAUGAUCAAGCUUGGACACACAAUUAUAUAUUAGUAUUAAGUCACAUAUAGUCAGGAUAGCAUACUGACACUGAUUUAUAUUUCAAAAUGUACCCCUUAUUUUGGUGAGUUCAGCAAUUUCAGACAAGAGGACCACUUCACUCCAAGACUUAAUCAUAUUCUCAACUUCCCCUAUUCUCUCCCUUACUAUAUUAAUCUAAUUAGGUUACAAUUAUACGGGGACACAACUAAUCUCUGAGCUGGGUUACGUUACUUUUCGUUGGGGUACAUUAAGGUGUAUGAGUUUGUUCAUUUCUAAUGUGGUCCUUUUAUCCAGAUUUACAAGUGACUUUAAUCCUUUAUAAAGUUUGCAUGCCAAGGAAUGCCGACACACCCAUCGCAAUACAAAAAAUCGCACAGCCACACCCGGCAAUUUUAACCAAUUAUUUAUUACAACCGAGACACUCCAUCAGUUAUCGCCACUUUGUUGGCAUAAGGUCAGUGAAAGCUUGCUCAGGACCAGUAAUGCUUUAAGCUGAUAAUGAAGGCUUCACUCAGGCAAACUAACUAUCUGCUGGGAUCCCCGGAAAAAGUUUUGCAGGGGUACACUUCAAAGCUCAGCCUGUUAUAGUGUCUGUAUGCCGCAACAGAAUACACUCACACUCCAAAACUC
Molecule: long non-coding RNA, 2181 nt
Organism: Eriocheir sinensis (Chinese mitten crab)
Lineage: Eukaryota; Metazoa; Arthropoda; Malacostraca; Decapoda; Varunidae
Exons: 4
Source: RefSeq, a predicted model, not a curated record